GACGUAGGGCGCAAGCGUUGUCCGGAUUUAUUGGGCGUAAAGAGCGUGUAGGCGGCUUGGUAGGUCCGCUGUGAAAACUCGAGGCUCAACCUCGAGAUGUCGGCGGAAACCACUUGGCUAGAGUCCGGAAGAGGAGAGUGGAAUUCCUGGUGUAGCGGUGAAAUGCGCAGAUAUCAGGAAGAACACCUAUGGCGAAGGCAGCUCUCUGGGACGGUACUGACGCUGAGACGCGAAAGCGUGGGGAGCGAACAGG
Molecule: ribosomal RNA, 253 nt
Filed under: uncultured bacterium
Lineage: Bacteria
Description: partial 16S ribosomal RNA
Rfam family: Bacterial small subunit ribosomal RNA
Source: RNAcentral